RNAcentral lists this transfer RNA (52 nucleotides) under Ptychostomum archangelicum. RNAcentral describes it as "partial tRNA-Phe". Lineage: Eukaryota; Viridiplantae; Streptophyta; Bryopsida; Bryales; Bryaceae. The record is from RNAcentral.
CCGGAAUAGCUCAGUUGGUAGAGCAGAGGACUGAAAAUCCUCGUGUCACCGU